UACGGAGGAGGCAAGCGUUAUCCGGAAUUAUUGGGCGUAAAGCGUCCGUAGGUGGUUUAGUAAGUCUGCUGUUAAAGCGCGGGGCUUAACUCCGUAUCGGCAGUGGAAACUACUAGACUAGAGUGUGGUAGGGGUAGAGGGAAUUCCCAGUGUAGCGGUGAAAUGCGUAGAUAUUGGGAAGAACACCGGUGGCGAAAGCGCUCUGCUGGACCUUAACUGACACUGAGGGACGAAAGCUAGGGGAGCGAAUGGG
RNAcentral lists this ribosomal RNA (253 nucleotides) under uncultured bacterium. Its description in RNAcentral is "partial 16S ribosomal RNA". It matches the Rfam family "Bacterial small subunit ribosomal RNA", at positions 524 to 776 of the family's 1533-position model. The record is from RNAcentral.